Molecule: long non-coding RNA, 1159 nt
Filed under: Physcomitrium patens
Lineage: Eukaryota; Viridiplantae; Streptophyta; Bryopsida; Funariales; Funariaceae
Description: long non-coding RNA (PPAT_LNC000143)
Source: RNAcentral
GAAGACUUGCUUGAGAAUGCUCCGAGCACCUAGCUGUGGAAGAUAGAAUAGAAAUUGCAACAACAAAAUUCUAAUUCUAAUAGAACACUAAUUAAACUCUAAUUAUACCAUAAAAAUACUAAACAAGCUUUAAUCAAAUUAAAAGAAACCUCAAAGGAAUUACAAAAAAAUAAUAAGAAAUCUCAAAGAAAUAUUAGAAUGAUCACAAAUAUAUUUUAAAUAAAUCUCAAUCCAAUCUUAAUUUAAUCCUAGUUAAAAUCCUAUUAGACUUCAAUCAAACUUAAGGCCAAAAAAUAACUAAAUAUUAAACCUUAAACAAAUCCUAAAUAAAUCUUAAUCCCUAAAUCAACUCCUAAUCAAAUCCUAAUCUUAAAUCAAAUUCUAACCAAAUCCUAAAUCCUAAAUAAAAACCUAACCAAACCCUGAAUUCUAAAUCAAAUCCUAAUCAAAUCCUACUCCUAAAUCAAAUCCUAACCAAAUCCUAAUCCUAAAUCAAAUCCUAAAUUCUAAACCAAAUCCUAAAUCCUAAACCAAAUCCUAACCAAAUCCUAAACCCUAAAUCAAAUCCUAAUCAAAUCCUAAAUUCUAAACCAAAUCCUAACUAAUCUCAAGUAAUUCCUACAAUAGAUUUAAACCUCAAUAACUUAUGAACGAACUGUUAAUUUUAACUUAAAAUUUUCAUACUUCUAAAUAAUUAAGUUGAAAACAAGUAAAAAAAAAUUUAAAAAGAUAGGAAUUACCAAAUAGACGAUAACCUCAAAAACAUAUUCAGGUAUUGACUGGCCUCCUUCUCUGACCUUGAUGCCAAUAUCCUAGAGCCAAUAUCUCUCUUUUUCACUAUUCGAUUGAUUUCAAAAUUCUUAUACACGUAGGAAAACAAGUCUAAUAUCUUCACACAUAAAUUUCACUCCAAUCCAAUUAGUAUAUUACAAGAAAUUUUAAAAACCCUCACUUGAUCUAAACUUCUACUUUCUAAGACCUUGACCUACUUAAACCUCAAUAACCAUCAAUUCAACAAUUAGAUCAAGCUAAAAUUCACAAUUCAUAUUAAGCACAAGUAUGAAUAUUAUUCUAUAAAAUUUCACCCAUAGAUCUAUUGCAAAACUCUCAAAUUAUCCAAAACGUCAAUCCUAUUUUAUUUCACAAAAACCCAAGUCAU